CAGAAGUUGGCGUACAGGUAAGUCCACUUUUCUUUUUUUCCCCCCCACCCCGACUGUUUUUUUUUUUUAGUUCCUCCUCCUGUCACUCGCGCACCGCCACCCUCCGGUGUCUCUUCCCCGCAGGCGAGCGAAGGGAAGGUGAGGUCGUCGCUGAUUGGCUGCCCGCGGCCAGGAGAGCCGACUGCUGAUUGGCUCAAAGUGCGGGACAAGCAGUUAAAGGACACGCCUCCUCCUUCGCCGCGAAUCUCGAUUUUUGGGUAUUUAUACAUUUCUUUCAUGACAUUUUUUAAUGAUUUUGGCGGGUAUUUUAUCUAACAAAAUUAAAUAUGAGUUAAGAAGAAAUCUGAUUUACAAAAAGUUGUGUAAUUAUCAAUAAAUGAACUGUACAUUUUUUUAAAAUAGAAUGCAUUAUACUAUUACAGUAAACAAUUGCCCAUAAAAUGCAAAAAUAUUACUGUAGGACACCAUUUUGUAUGUUUUAUUUUCACAAAUCCAAUAAUAUAAAAAGUCUACACAUAUUUGUAAGACAUGGAGAGAGAGAGAGAACAUUAUAAAACAUUUCAAAAAGCAUGAAUGACAGCCACAACCUGGAAAAAUGUAAUAUAUUUGACAGGGAACUUAAACAUGAAGCGAGCAAAUGUUAUUGCGCAAGUGUGCACACCCACCGAGAACUGGUGAUGUCAUUGUGUUCAGAAUGACCCAAUUAAAUUCCAACAUAUGUACUUAGUGUUGCAUGUUUACAGUUACUUAGUGACAGUUGCUGACUUACUUACAGUUCAGAAUGAACCAAUUUGGUGCAAAGUCAUGUGAAGUGGGAGUCGGCACACACCUUCCACCAUUUAAACUGCCACAGAUGAACCCCCAAAGAAGGUCAACUUUAUCUUCAUCAUUAUCAUUUUACAUCCUCUCUCUAAAAACUUGCAUUGUUUUUUUUCACUCCAGGGGAUUGUGGAGAGUACGGGUUAUAGGUCACACUGAUGGCGGGGAAAAUUUUCAGGUGAUUUGUCUUGGUCUCGUUUCUAUACAACAAAAGCAUUGCAUUUCAAUUGCUGUGGAGUCUUUUUAUAUCCGCUGCCGUUGGUUAAUUGGCUGCAAAUAACUUCAUUAGGAAGAAUACAAUUAGCUUACAAACAAGUAUCUGUUUGAAAACUCAAAUGUGGGCCUCGGGGCACAAAAGCUUGCCCACCACUACAGAGUAAAGAGGAAAUAAAGGCAGCGGUGCUGGUGAUGGGGGGCGGGGGCUGUCAUUAGUUGACACAAUGCCAUUGUCCCUUUAAUGAAGCCAUUGUAUGAGCACAUCACAGUGUUUGGGAUCAGCCAGGCCGACAGCAAACAAUGCAGGUGCAUGUUUGUCUCCUACACUCACCACCUCAAUGCUAAUUCAGUCCUGUUUAUUUAGCUUCAAAGUUCACGUCGGAGGCAUGCACCGCGACCACUACAUCAUAAGUAACAACAGGAAAAAAAUGUGUCCACUUUUUUUUUUGGACUGUCAUUUGUUGUUGUUAUUUUAGCAAAACGGUUUGGAUGCUUGCAAGCUGUUGACAGGAUAAAUAGACAGGCACAUUUGCUUGUGAAAGCCUCCGGGUGAUCGUGUAUGGAAACUUUUUUUUUUUUUUUUAAGGAAAGGUUUCAGCUUCAGUUUAACGGCCAGUGGUGUCAUCCCCUUGUGUGCGUGUAUGAGACACAGCCAUGUUCUUCUCGUCUCAUUUGUUUCCCAGAGCAGCUGGGGCCUUUUCGGCGCGCUCUGUGUUGUGUGUGCUAGAUAAAUACAGGUGGAGUCCUUUUUCUUCCCAGCAGCACACAAACACAACAUGGGGAGCGGGAGGCAGAGUUGAAGGUGUUCACAAUAAAUGCAAUAGUAAACCAGUGGCAGGCAAACUUUACAGAGCUCAAGGGUCCAUAUUUGAUUUAUAGAAUGGACAGAAGAAGCACAAAAGAAAUGUUAAGAAAAGCCUCCUCAAACAUCGGAACUCUUGAUGUCGGGGUUGAUCAUGUACGCUUUAAAUAAUGGCGGGUCAUAGAUAGUCUCAAACUUUCCCGUCGUUGCCAUGUGACAUUGUGACAGUUGAAACCGUGCGACUCCAAGCAAGCAAGGGCAAGACUGAGACGUCGGCCGCCAAGACACUGCUCUAGAAUUCCCUUUUCCAUGCCUCCUCCUGCCUUCUGCGUAUGGGGGGUGGGG
Hippocampus zosterae (dwarf seahorse) is the source of this 2182-nucleotide long non-coding RNA. RefSeq lists it as uncharacterized. The record is from RefSeq and is a predicted model, not a curated record. Lineage: Eukaryota; Metazoa; Chordata; Actinopteri; Syngnathiformes; Syngnathidae. The transcript is spliced from 2 exons.